UGAGAACAAGCUGUUAAGCACUUCAUUUACACUGAAAAGGUACUUGAUAACAAUCAAGGUUCUUAA
Molecule: transfer RNA, 66 nt
Filed under: Catomerus polymerus
Lineage: Eukaryota; Metazoa; Arthropoda; Thecostraca; Balanomorpha; Catophragmidae
Description: tRNA-Val
Source: RNAcentral